AAGUUCCGUAACUUUACCCACCUGGGUCUUUGGGUCCAGGCAACCUUAGGCAAUUGCCUAUCAUUUGUACCUAGUGUGGACAAAAGCUUUGCCGUAGGGACUUUUUUUAUGAAUUAAAGAAGGGAGGGGGUUGGGUCACCCUACCCCAACUUUGGACCUCAAUUAAAAAAGUUCCGUAACUUUACCCACCUGGGUCUUUGGGUCCAGGCAACCUUAGGC
Long non-coding RNA from Mytilus californianus (California mussel), 219 nucleotides. RefSeq lists it as uncharacterized. Lineage: Eukaryota; Metazoa; Mollusca; Bivalvia; Mytilida; Mytilidae. The transcript is spliced from 3 exons. The record is from RefSeq and is a predicted model, not a curated record.